Molecule: ribosomal RNA, 253 nt
Filed under: uncultured bacterium
Lineage: Bacteria
Description: partial 16S ribosomal RNA
Rfam family: Bacterial small subunit ribosomal RNA
Source: RNAcentral
UACGAAGGGGGCUAGCGUUGCUCGGAAUUACUGGGCGUAAAGGGAGCGUAGGCGGACAGUUUAGUCAGUGGUGAAAGCCCAGGGCUCAACCUUGGAGUUGCCAUUGAUACUGAUUGUCUUGAGUAUGGGAGAGGUGUGCGGAACUCCGAGUGUAGAGGUGAAAUUCGUAGAUAUUCGGAAGAACACCAGUGGCGAAGGCGGCACACUGGCCCAUUACUGACGCUGAGGCUCGAAAGCGUGGGGAGCAAACAGG